CCUACGGGUGGCAGCAGUGUGGAAUAUUGGUCAAUGGGCUUACGCCUGAACCAGCCAAGUCGCGUGAGGGAAGACUGCCCUAUGGGUUGUAAACAUCUUUUGUCAGGGAGCAACGCCGGCUACGUGUAGCCGGACUGAGAGUACCUGAAGAAAAAGCAUCGGCAAACUCCGUGCCAGCAGGCGCGGUAAUACGGAGGAUGCGAGCGUUAUCCGGAUUGAUUGGGUGUAAAGGGUGCGUAGACGGAAUGCCAAGUCAGCGGUAAAAUCCCGGGGCUCAACCUCGCUCCGCCUUUGAAACUGGCUUUCUUGAGUGGGCGAGAAGUAUGCGGAAUGCCAGGUGUAGCAGUGAAAUGCAUAGAUAUCACGCAGAACUCCGAUUGCGAAGGCAGCCUACCGGCGCCCAACUGACGCUGAAGCACGAAAGCGUGGGUAUCGAACAGGAUUAGAUACCCCAGUAGUC
This 460-nucleotide ribosomal RNA is filed under the name uncultured bacterium. Its description in RNAcentral is "partial 16S ribosomal RNA". It matches the Rfam family "Bacterial small subunit ribosomal RNA", at positions 338 to 795 of the family's 1533-position model. The record is from RNAcentral.